Long non-coding RNA from Pomacea canaliculata, 532 nucleotides. RefSeq lists it as uncharacterized. The transcript is spliced from 3 exons. The record is from RefSeq and is a predicted model, not a curated record. NCBI's taxonomy places the organism in Eukaryota, Metazoa, Mollusca, Gastropoda, Architaenioglossa, Ampullariidae.
GCCAUUUUGCCAGAAAGUCGUGUUAAGGGCAGAUCACUCCCUUGGCCGUCGGCAGGUUGACAGGGUAGCAGGGUGCCAGGAGUAAGUGUCAGAGUUCACGGCAAGCAUGCCAAGACAAGAUUUCCAGUCGUUUCUCAGAUGGAAAGAGAACGUCAAGAAAGAAAAUGAAACGAGAAAGUGUUUUGAAAAAUACCAUAAUAUCGACACAUUAAGGGGUGUAACUCCAGAGGAACUGGAGGAGGCCCAGUGCUAUUAUGGUAAACGACGCCUACCACCGAGUUUGACUGUCUCAUCCGUCCGUCCGUCCACCAGAACGGGACAGCUUAAUCCCAGUCUCUCAGUGAAACAAUGAAGAAGUGCAUCGAAGACAUACGGUUAGAAAUGAGCAAUACACUGAGGAAAUAUGUGGAAUUCCUUCAUCUUGCGACCUUCAGUAAGCAACAACAUUAUUGAAAUCUCAUUGUCUAUCUUAUCAGGGCAUUGCCAAGCUACUCUACCAUGAUCGUGGCACAGAAAUUCUUGACAUAGACUA